GCAGUCGACGAGAGGACAUGGGAAGCUUGCUUCCUAUGAAAUCGAGUGGCAAACGGGUGAGUAACGCGUAAACAACCUGCCCUUCGGAUGGGGAUAACAGCCGGAAACGGCUGCUAAUACCGAAUACGAUCUUUUCGUCGCAUGACGGAAAGAAGAAAGGAUGGCCUCUAUACAAAGCUAUCGCCGAAGGAGGGGUUUGCGUCUGAUUAGCUGGUUGGAGGGGUAACGGCCCAACAAGGCGAUGAUCAGUAGCCGGUCUGAGAGGAUGAACGGCCACAUUGGGACUGAGACACGGCCCAGACUCCUACGGGAGGCAGCAGUGGGGAAUCUUCCGCAAUGGACGAAAGUCUGACGGAGCAACGCCGCGUGAGUGAAGAAGGUCUUCGGAUUGUAAAGCUCUGUUAUACGGGACGAAAAAGACGGAUGCCAACAGUAUCCGUCCGUGACGGUACCGUAAGAGAAAGCCACGGCUAACUACGUGCCAGCAGCCGCGGUAAUACGUAGGUGGCAAGCGUUGUCCGGAAUUAUUGGGCGUAAAGGGCGCGCAGGCGGUUCGGUAAGUCUGUCUUAAAAGUGCGGGGCUUAACCCCGUGAGGGGACGGAAACUGUCGAACUUGAGUGUCGGAGAGGAAAGCGGAAUUCCUAGUGUAGCGGUGAAAUGCGUAGAUAUUAGGAGGAACACCGGUGGCGAAAGCGGCUUUCUGGACGACAACUGACGCUGAGGCGCGAAAGCGUGGGGAGCA
Molecule: ribosomal RNA, 743 nt
Filed under: uncultured bacterium
Lineage: Bacteria
Description: bacterial SSU rRNA
Rfam family: Bacterial small subunit ribosomal RNA
Source: RNAcentral